UAGGGAAUCUUCGGCAAUGGACGAAAGUCUGACCGAGCAACGCCGCGUGAGUGAAGAAGGUUUUCGGAUCGUAAAACUCUGUUGUUAGAGAAGAACAAGGACGUUAGUAACUGAACGUCCCCUGACGGUAUCUAACCAGAAAGCCACGGCUAACUACGUGCCAGCAGCCGCGGUAAUACGUAGGUGGCAAGCGUUGUCCGGAUUUAUUGGGCGUAAAGCGAGCGCAGGCGGUUUCUUAAGUCUGAUGUGAAAGCCCCCGGCUCAACCGGGGAGGGUCAUUGGAAACUGGGAGACUUGAGUGCAGAAGAGGAGAGUGGAAUUCCAUGUGUAGCGGUGAAAUGCGUAGAGAUCUGGAGGAAUACCGGUGGCGAAGGCGGCCCCCUGGACGAAGCCUGACGCUCAGGUGCGAAAGCGUGGGGAGCAAACAGG
Molecule: ribosomal RNA, 429 nt
Filed under: Chloroflexota bacterium
Lineage: Bacteria; Bacillati; Chloroflexota
Description: Chloroflexi bacterium partial 16S ribosomal RNA
Rfam family: Bacterial small subunit ribosomal RNA
Source: RNAcentral